GCAAGUCGAACGUGAAGGUUGAGAUGACGACUUCGGUUUGAAUUUUGGCUGGAAAGUGGCGAACGGGUGAGUAACACGUAGGUGAUCUGCCUCGAAGUGGGGGAUAACCAUCGGACACGAUGGCUAAUACCUCAUAGUUCUGUUGGUGUGGGAACAUUGACAGGUAAAGGUCUUGCGCUUCGAGAGGAGCCUGCGUCCGAUUAGCUAGUUGGUGGGGUAAAGGCCCACCAAGGCGACGAUCGGUAGCUGGUCUGAGAGGACGAUC
This 265-nucleotide ribosomal RNA is filed under the name uncultured bacterium. RNAcentral's name for it is "partial 16S ribosomal RNA". It matches the Rfam family "Bacterial small subunit ribosomal RNA", at positions 57 to 305 of the family's 1533-position model. The record is from RNAcentral.